This is a long non-coding RNA of Aricia agestis (brown argus), 152 nucleotides long. RefSeq lists it as uncharacterized. NCBI's taxonomy places the organism in Eukaryota, Metazoa, Arthropoda, Insecta, Lepidoptera, Lycaenidae. The record is from RefSeq and is a predicted model, not a curated record. The transcript is spliced from 3 exons.
ACAACUGUAUUGAUUUAAGGGGUACCAGGGUUUUCUUAUAAAAGCUUUUGACAACAAUUUUGUUAACAUCGCGCGCUACAAACUGAAGUCCACGCGGACGAAGUCGCGGGCAAUAGCUAGUAAUUAAUAUAAAUGUUAAAAAAGUUUACUAU